CCUGCAGCACAGGGAGGGUGUGGGGGAGGGCCGGGCUGCACCCCAGGAUCCCGAGUGCCUGGGAGGACACGCUCCUUCCCCCUAAGAUGUCUGCGUCGGACUUUCAAGGUGCAGGGACCUGGGCAGCCCCUCCCCGGGGGACUAGCCACCAGCCAUGGCCCCUGCUGCCUGGGCUUUUAGGGAGAGGUCCCAGGGCACAGACCAGAGGCCGACAGAUACGCUCACUCAGGGGCGAUGCCUCAGGGUCUGACAGAUGCACUCACUCAGGGGUGAUGUCUCAGGGUCUGGCCCCACUGUAGGGACCACCCGUCACUUCACUGUGGGUGGGGGCGGGGGGCUCCACUGCCUGUUCUCUCAGGGCCAUUGGCUGGGAGGGGUCACUGUGGCUCCCUGCUAGGCCUGUACCCCCCAGGCUGCAGCCCUGGCUUCUAGAAGCAGUCUGGGGGUUCCUCUCCACGGUGGGCCCUAGGCAGACACCUUCUCAAGCGCUUACACCCCCAGGGGUGAUGGCUAGCGGACCCCAGGCAGACUCCAAGAGCCAGGCUCUUAAUCCCGGUGCAGAGAUGUCACAGGCAGAGGGACUGUGCAUGGGAUGUGAAGGGGCUCUGGGUAGGGAGGGGAGGCCAGGAGGGGCAGAAUUGGGGGUCCACCAUCCACCCCCAGGAGUGCCAGGACACAGCACCCUCUGCUCUAAUGAGAGCAGCCCUGCCUGCCUGAGACCUAAUCACUCAUCAACCAAGGUGGGCUCAACUCCGCAUCGCUCAGCUGCAAGCCAGCCCAGUGCAGACACAGUUUAAUAACUGGCUGGAGUGCAGUGGCGCGAUCUCGGCUCAUCACAACCUCCACCUCCUGGGUUCAAGUGAUUCUCCUGCCUCAGCCUCCCGGGUAGCUGGGAUUACAGGCAUGAGCCACCACACCCAGCUGAUCAACAGUUGUAUUUUUAAGAAGUAUGUAUCUAGCCAGGCUCGGUGGCCCAUGUCCAUAAUCCCAGCACUUUGUGAGGCCGAGAUGGGAGGAUGGCUGGAGCCCAGUUCAUGACCAGCCCAGGUGACAUAGCAAGACCCUGUCCCCACAAAAAAAUACAAAUAUAAGCCUUGUGUGGUGGUGGCACCUGUGAUCCCAGCUACUCCGGAGUCUGAAGCAGGAGGAUCACUUGAGCCCAGGAGGUCGAGGCUGCAGUGAGCUGUGAUUGUACCACCGCACUCAGCCUGGGCGACAGAGACCCUCUUGCUAAAUCUGGCGACCUUCAGCUAAGCAAGAGCGGGGGCCGCGUGGACCUGGGGAAGGCCAGACGGCGAGUGUGCACCAGCCCCAGGGCUCUGUCCCAGCCCCUUCUGGAAAGUUCCAGGCCUGUUUUGCUCCAGAGCUGGAUGGCGUCAGGCAGUGAGCAGCCACGAGGGCAGGAGGCAUCGUUAGCGCUGCCCCUUCACGUCACCCUGGAACCCAGGCCCUGCAGCAGGGGACCCCAAGGCCCACUCGGGCGCAUGACAGCCACCCCGGCCAUGUCAGAGCCCUCCUGAGCUCGUCACAGACACUGGUACCUGCACCAGCAGGUAGCACAAGGGCGCGAGACGGGGACUCCCUUCCCUCCUGGGAAGAUGCCACCAAAACAGCUGGACAGACACGAGAGGCGGGGUCUGGCAGUGUGCACGGUGGGGACAGAGCCGGGCCGGGGCUAACAGAUGGCCCUGUGGACGCGUCCUCACAAGCCAGGUUUCUUCCUAUCUGUAUAUGCCAGGCAUCUGCCAGGCUUUCCGCAGUGAACUCGGGGGCACUAUCCUCGGUACCCAGAUGCCCACCUGUGUGCCACUCCCCUCCCAAACCAGCCCCUGAGCCCGAGCUCUGUUACCUGCAGCGAACUCCUCGAUGGUCAUGAGCGGGAAGCGAAUGAGGCCCAGGGCCUUGCCCAGAACCUUCCGCCUGUUCUCUGGCGUCACCUGCAGCUGCUGCCGCUGACACUCGGCCUCGGACCAGCGGACAACGGCAUUGAACAGCCGCACCUCACGGAUGCCCAGUGUGUCGCGCUCCAGGACAGCCACCAGCGUGUCUGUGGGGUGGAGGAAGGGGCUGCGUGAACACGACACCCACAUGCCCACCCUGCAGGAGGCAGUGAGACUAACGUGAGGACCAGCAGUUAAAGCCGGGCUGGCAACUAUGGCCCGUGGCCCAAAUCUGGCCCUGUGAGUGUGUUUAUAAAUAAAGCUUUAUCAACACAA
Molecule: long non-coding RNA, 2216 nt
Organism: Homo sapiens (human)
Lineage: Eukaryota; Metazoa; Chordata; Mammalia; Primates; Hominidae
Exons: 2
Source: RefSeq, a predicted model, not a curated record